Numida meleagris (helmeted guineafowl) is the source of this 1047-nucleotide long non-coding RNA. RefSeq lists it as uncharacterized. The record is from RefSeq and is a predicted model, not a curated record. Lineage: Eukaryota; Metazoa; Chordata; Aves; Galliformes; Numididae. The transcript has 3 exons.
GCUGAUUAGGCAUGAUUAAGCUUCCUUAUCAUCCUGCUCAAAGUUCUCCUAUACACAAGCCAAUCUUGCUCUGAUGCCAGGGCUGGGGCUGCUGUUUCUAUUGACUCUUUGUGCUCCUUGCAUGCUUCAUCUGCAAAAGGGAGGAUCAACAAGGAAGUACGGAAAAUCCCUUUACUGUUAGGAACACAAAAAAGGUAGAUCCUUUUAUAAGGCUAAUGGAACAUCAUCCCUUGGUCUGAGCACAGUAGCAUCUUUAUUUCAUGUGACCUGCAGACCUAUAAUAUCAUAGUAGCCUAUGGAAGAGGCACCUAAGACUUGGACUGAAGGCAUGUUGCGUUCAUAUCAAAACCUCUGCUCUGCCUGUCAGGGAGGAGAAACCUACGUCUCCAGCACUGAAGUUCAGGGCUCCUGGUACCCAACUAUUGUCUUGGUCCAGGUGUUUUUUUUUUUUUUUUCUUUUCUGACCAAAAUGCCACCUUGGAACUUCCUUUCCUUUUGUAACUGGAGCAUGCAGCUUCUGGCAAGAUAACCCUUUGUGAACUCAUUCUCAGCCAGCUCUGUUGGUGAACACAACUUACACUAUGAAAACUGCUCAGCCCUGCGCUUCAAGAAGAUCCACACGCUCUGUCCUGAGUCCUUGCUUGACAAAAUCUCCCAAGAAACAGUAGGAGUUUGGACUGUGUGGUUUCUAAUGUUAAGCCAAAAAUAAAUGAUGUAUGUUGCCUUAUAGUCUUACACAAAUUAUCUGAUCAUUGUAAAAAUAAAAGUUAAGAAUAAAACCAAGAAAGAGAAGGACAAUAAAUCAUCAUAAUAUUAUAUAAAAAAAACACUACAUAUUCAGAUUGCCAUUGCAAAACUGCUCUUCUUGUGCUAGGAUUUUCACAAUGGAUUGGCCGGAAGCUUGGCUCUGAAUGAGAAAAUGUGCCCCAUUAGGCAAAAGAGCUCAAUGUCUGCAUGUUUUUUCUUUUGUUAAAUUUGGCAAGGGGAGCCUACCACCUUAAUUAAUGUCAUUUGUGAUAUUAAGAGGCAAAUAUUAGAGCAACAAGU